RNAcentral lists this ribosomal RNA (56 nucleotides) under Coprinellus sp. SA-1. Its description in RNAcentral is "partial 28S ribosomal RNA". The record is from RNAcentral. Lineage: Eukaryota; Fungi; Basidiomycota; Agaricomycetes; Agaricales; Psathyrellaceae.
GACAAUUUGGCCUCAAAUCAGGUAGGACUACCCGCUGAACUUAAGCAUAUCAAUAA